RNAcentral lists this ribosomal RNA (637 nucleotides) under Acanthamoeba sp. LC-2012. RNAcentral's name for it is "bacterial SSU rRNA". It matches the Rfam family "Eukaryotic small subunit ribosomal RNA", at positions 619 to 1143 of the family's 1831-position model. Lineage: Eukaryota; Discosea; Longamoebia; Acanthamoebidae. The record is from RNAcentral.
UUAAAAAGCUCGUAGUUGGAUCUAGGGACGCGCAUUUCAAGCGCCCGUGCCGUUGGGUCAAACCAGCGACUGCGUUGGCGUUGCGGGCUCGGUCCGUCGGUGCCAAACGGCGGCGGUGGGUCCCUGGGGCCCAGAUCGUUUACCGUGAAAAAAUUAGAGUGUUCAAAGCAGGCAGAUCCAAUUUUCUUCCACCGAAUACAUGAGCAUGGGAUAAUGGAAUAGGACCCUGUCCUCCUAUUUUCAGUUGGUUUUGGCAGCGCGAGGACUAGGGUAAUGAUUAAUAGGGAUAGUUGGGGGCAUUAAUAUUUAAUUGUCAGAGGUGAAAUUCUUGGAUUUAUGAAAGAUUAACUUCUGCGAAAGCAUCUGCCAAGGAUGUUUUCAUUAAUCAAGAACGAAAGUUAGGGGAUCGAAGACGAUCAGAUACCGUCGUAGUCUUAACCAUAAACGAUGCCGACCAGCGAUUAGGAGACGUUGAAUACAAAACACCACCAUCGGCGCGGUCGUCCUUGGCGUCGCUCUUUCGGGGCCGGCGCGGGGACGGCUUAGCCCGGUGGCACCGGUGAAUGACUCCCCUAGCAGCUUGUGAGAAAUCAUAAGUCUUUGGGUUCCGGGGGGAGUAUGGUCGCAAGGCUGAAAC